AAAAUAUUUGGUUCUGGUAUAAUGUUAGCUACAGAGUUUUUUACAUUACACAAUGUAGGAUAAUUUCGUGAUGUGUGAAAGUCUGAUUUACGUGAUAAGCCGAAACUUAAAGUGUCCUAAAAGGAAAAAUUGGCAGCAGGAGCAUAAGUUUUUAAUGAUGACGCGAAGGAAAUCACAACUCAAGUGGGUAGAUCUGGAAAUCAAUGAGUUCUAGCUUGAAACGAAUAAAAAACUAACUAAAUUGAAGCGAAAGAGGGUGCCAGCAGCUGCGGUCACUCCCUCUCUCGAGGAGCUAAUAAGGGUGCAGCUUAGAGGCAGUUAGUCAAAAUGCAUAACGCAAGACAUACAGCAGGGACUAUGGGUGAAAUCUCAGUCCUGCGGGAGGUCCAAAACUUGCGUAAAGAUGAGUCUGCGAAGUUAUGGGUAUAGACCCGGAUUUGGUACCCGGUUAUUCCAUAAUGUCAAGUAUAGCUAUUUUAUUUGAAUUAAUAGUUUGCUAGGGGUACUACGAGCAACUGCUUAAAACUCGAAGAACUUGGCGGUUCCGCAUAACCAUCCAGAGGCUCUUGGCGCUUAAUCUGAUGAUCCGCGUGAUAUCUUACCUGCCCUAUAGAAAGCAGUGUACUGCCGUCGAAAGCUUAUGAUGUGAGUAAAUGAAAAUAGGCCCAAUCUUGGGAUUUUAAGUAAUUAAUAAUCAUACCGAGGCUAGGUCAGGUCGAAGUGCUCCUUAUGGGCAAGGGGUUAGCUGAGAGACAAAUAUUUAGACAUAUAAAGAUUUUAGAGAUGAAAUUCUCUUAGUGAAUAUAAGGAUUUGGGAGUAAAAAGAGAGUAAUUCGUUUUUUUGAAAAGACGCAACUGCGGUGCGUUCAAAUCGCCCGUCACCCUAGCCGAAAGGAGAGGUAAGUCGUAACAUGGUAAGGGUAGGGGAACUUGCUCUUUUAAUAAC
RNAcentral lists this non-coding RNA (946 nucleotides) under Magallana hongkongensis (Hong Kong oyster). RNAcentral's name for it is "12S ribosomal RNA". The stretch from base 174 to 945 matches the Rfam family "Microsporidia small subunit ribosomal RNA". Lineage: Eukaryota; Metazoa; Mollusca; Bivalvia; Ostreida; Ostreidae. The record is from RNAcentral.